Long non-coding RNA from Lytechinus variegatus (green sea urchin), 2570 nucleotides. RefSeq lists it as uncharacterized. NCBI's taxonomy places the organism in Eukaryota, Metazoa, Echinodermata, Echinoidea, Temnopleuroida, Toxopneustidae. The transcript has 2 exons. The record is from RefSeq and is a predicted model, not a curated record.
CACUUGUUUAAUCUUAAUUUUCACUAUAAAUUAAAGCUUGAAAAUGCUGUUAUAUCAUUUUCAGGAAAAUACAUACUUUGAUUUAGGGUCCUGUUAAGAUCUGUAAUGUGUUGUCAGCUGAAGUGGUUUUAUACUGUAACUCUAUACAGGUAUUACAGGCUAUGUAAACAAAAGUCAUACUUACUAGGGAUAUAAUUUCUUCAUUACAAGUUAUCUUCCAAUCUAUGAAAUCAUGUAAAAACCUUGAAUCAUAUUUUCUUCCUUUUUUGUAGAAAUGUUGAUAUUCUCCUUAAAUCAUUUAUAUUUUUAUUUUUUUGUUCAUUUUUCUAGAAAUAUUUCACUUUUCUCAAGAUAUUUUUGCAUACUGUAUACUCUCUUCUCCUUUCGCAUCAGGAUCGCUUUUAAGGGCAGCAAAAGUACAGAUAUUAAAAAUAUGGCAAAACUGAAUAUGAGUACGUGUAUAUAUCUCCAUCUUGAAUGCAAAGUACAUGUACAAGACACCAUGAAGAUUGUCUUUAGAACCACUGUUCAUGUUCGGUAAACUUCUGCCUCCACCUUUCUAGCAACUGCAUCAUUACAAAUUAAAUGUAAAAACCAUUAAAUUGCAUGUAAUGGGACCUUUAUUCAAUCUCUUGAUUAAUUCUUCAUAUUACAAAAGACAGAAAUCAUAAAAGAAAUGAAUGAUUUAUUUUGUCAAAUAACCCGGUUAGAUUACCAGAUAUAGAUGUAAAAUUUGUUUUUAGAAAAGUAGAUCUUUAAAAUUGAUGAUCAGGCUGUAAGUUCCAAUAUAAAUUCCAUGAAAAUGACUUUGUGUAUAUGAACAAAUUUCAGAGCCAAAGUUUUAAUAUUUGACAGAAAUUGUCUUAAUUUGUGAAAUGUCUUAUGAACUAAUCUGAUGUAGUAACCAAAAAUGGGAUCAUUAUUUGUUGUCUCCUUGGUUAGAUCCGAUUUGCAGUCAAGUAAUUGACUUCAAUAUUGUCACAAUUAUCUUCAUAAAUUAUUGAUAAAUGCCUUUAUAUUUCACUUUUUCAGUUAUUAUAUUCUCAUAUACAUAUGCUUAUGACUAUGUUAUUUAUGGUGCUGAAUCCAAUAAAAUCUGUUAAAGACAUUUUGAUAUAAGUGCUUUCAAAUUUGUAUAUUAGAAUUAGAGUAAAAUUAUUGUUAUUUUCUGUGAUUUGAUAUUGGGUGAAUUUACCCAUACAUCACUUUUGUGCUAUCUUUCUUUCCCUGAUUCUACUCCUGUCAUAAUGAUAUGAGUAUAUAUAUAUGUAUUAGUGACUUGUUUGUUAUAUUAUUCUAAAUCUGUGGUGGCUGUGCCGCUCCAAUGUUUUAUAUUUCACAAUAUAUUUGAAUAACAUUGCUGGUCAAGUCAUUUUUCUUAUGAAAUUACUAUUUGUAUGUUUGUAUUUAAGUACAUGUAUGUAAAGUUGUAUGUUUUUUUUAUAGAAUAUUCGUAAUGAUAUUUUUGUAGAGUUACUUAUUAGUAAUUAAUAUACUAUAUUCUACUUAGCCCAAGUAGAAAGGUAUUAUAUUCCCUUCUUUAAAUCAAUGUUAUAUCUUUUGAGUAAGGAAAGUGAAAUGCAUGGAUUGCUAGUGUCUAUGUCUCUUUGAGUUUCCUGAAACACUUCAGAAAAAUUAGAUUGAGAGAAAAUAAUAUUGACUUCCUUUUAUGAUUGUUAUAUCUGUCUCAUGCUUCAGAAGAGAAUACACAAGGGCUCACAGCAAUUUACCUUCAAGCUGUGUGAAAAUAUUAUGAUGUAAAAGAUGCCCCCCCCCAUAUCACUAUCGAUACAAAAUGCAAAUGGGAAGAGAUUAAAAAGGAAAAGAAAUGAAAACAUGUAACAGAAAUGACUUAUUUAUUCCUCUUAUCUGUAUCUUCUUCUUAGCUAUUAUUAUUGCAGUGACUCUUCACCCUCUACUUCACAUGUGAUGCACAAACACUGCAUUUGUGUGUAGAUCAUACAAUUUCCCUUAGACUUUGGGGUCAUAUCAACUCAGUCACUUGGUGGGACUACAUCUCAAUAACGUUUGCUUGAUAUUGAAAAGUAAAGGUGAGUGGGAUAAAGCUUACAACUCAUAAUAUAAAUAGCAAUUAUUUAUGUGUUCCUAUUUAAACCUGUCUGAAUUUUUCUUUAAAGGUAGAUUGUCUUCUAGUAAUAGCUAAAUCAUGCUGCUCAUUUUAUACUUCACAUUAUACCUAGUUUUACAGUUUUUGUCCUAUAAUGUAGCAUUGAUAGAAAGGUUUGAUUUAAUAUGUACUUAAAAGAUGAUAAGCAGUAUGUAUACAUAUUGGGAUAUAUUAUGAAUGGAAAAGUAUACUAUGUGAUAAACACUUUAUAUCUUAGAGGGAUAAAAAGAAAAUGCCAUAUGAUUUGUAUAUUCUUGUGAAUGCGGAAUUGAACAUUGAGCAAUGUAUGUGAAAUGAACAAGAUUCUAUUUGAAAAUGUUCAGUUCAUUGUCUUUAAUACAAUAUAUCAUAUAGAAUUGGGGCAGAUAAUGAUGUUGAGAUAUUCCUUAAAAGAUAUAUCAUGUACAUGCUUUUGUGAAUAAAUGAAGGAUAUAAAAAAGAA